This 400-nucleotide ribosomal RNA is filed under the name phytoplankton environmental sample. Its description in RNAcentral is "partial small subunit ribosomal RNA". It matches the Rfam family "Eukaryotic small subunit ribosomal RNA", at positions 587 to 991 of the family's 1831-position model. The record is from RNAcentral.
AGCUCCAAUAGCGUAUAUUUAAGUUGUUGCAGUUAAAAAGCUCGUAGUUGGAUUUCGGAUGAAUGCGACCGGUCCGCCGUUUCGGUGUGUACUGGUUACGUUUAUCUUGCUGUCGGGGACGCGCUCCUGGCCUUAACUGGCUGGGACGUGGAGUCGGCGAAGUUACUUUGAAAAAAUUAGAGUGUUCAAAGCAGGCCUACGCUCUGAAUACAUUAGCAUGGAAUAACGCGAUAGGACUCUGGUCUUAUUUCGUUGGUCUUCGAGACCGGAGUAAUGAUUAAGAGGGACAGUUGGGGGCAUUCGUAUUUCAUUGUCAGAGGUGAAAUUCUUGGAUUUAUGAAAGACGAACUUCUGCGAAAGCAUUUGCCAAGGAUGUUUUCAUUAAUCAAGAACGAAAGUA